AAUGCGUUGAUAUCAUAGAGGAACACCAAAGGCGAAGGCAUUAGAUUGGCACACUCCAGACACUGAGCAGCGAAAGCGUGGGUAGCGAAUGGGAUUAGAUACCCCAGUAGUCCACGCCCUAAACUAUGCAUAUUAGGCAUUGAGAGUAUCGACCCUUUCAGUGUCGUAGCUAACGCGUUAAAUAUGCCGCCUGGGAAGUACGGUCGCAAGACUAAAACUCAAAGGAAUAGACGGGGAUCCGCACAAGUAGAGGAUCAUGUGGUUUAAUUCGAUGGUAAGCGAGAAACCUCACCAAGGUUUGAAACUAGGCUGCAAGCCUCAGCAAUGAGGCCGCCUUCGAGGGUGCCUAGCAGGUGCCGCAUGGUCGUCGUCAGCUCGUGUCGUAAGAUGUUCCG
Molecule: ribosomal RNA, 395 nt
Filed under: uncultured Parcubacteria group bacterium
Lineage: Bacteria
Description: bacterial SSU rRNA
Rfam family: Bacterial small subunit ribosomal RNA
Source: RNAcentral